AUUCCACAAUCGUCUCCUCCCUAUACCCGGGUGAGUGCGCUGCCGGCCGGCGGCACCUUCAGCGGCAGAGCAGCCCCGGCCUGCACCUCCACCAGCGCCGGCGCGACUUCGCGGUGGGGCGGGGGCGUCCCCGAGUCCCAGCGCCGCGCCCCAGGCCCGCCCUCGCGCCUGCGGCCUCACCGCGCGCCGACCCCGAGCCCCAGCCCGCGGAGGUCCGAGAAGGGACCCGGCCGGGGCGCAGAGCCGCGGAGGCCCCGCGCCGCCGCCCAGGCCUCGCGGAGCCCCGGCCUCUCCCCGGCGAGCUGCGGGCAACAAAGGCGGCGGCCCGGGCCGGCGCGCCGCGGCCGAAGAGGCCGAGGGGUCGGGAAGAGCCGCCCGCGGCCGCGCAGGCCUCGGCCCUUCAGGGGCCGCCGCGCCCCGGCCCCGGCUCCCCGGUUCCCGCGUCCCCGCUCCCGGGCCUGGGCCCGGUCCCCGUUCCCUGUUCCCCGGCCCUGGCCCCCGCCCGCGCACCCGCCGAGACGGCGCAGGGCCUCGCGCUGCCCCAGACCCGCCGCUGCAGCCCCGCGCCCGGCGGCCUCCCCGGCCCGGCCCGGCCCGCGCCAGAUCCGCCCCCUGCGCCCCGAGGCGAAAACCAGCCCCGCGGCCGGUGCCCCGCACCGCGAACGAGCCGAAGGCUUACGGCGAAGCCCGGCCCCUGCCUCCCGCCUGGGCUACCCGGACGCUCACCCGGAGGCGGCCCGGCUCCGCUUCCUCGCCCAGCGCCGGCGCGACUGCCGCGCUCGCCUUCUCUCUGCAACUCCUCCUCCCGCCUCCUUCCUCCUCCUCCUCCUCCAGGAGGGGCGCGCAGCCGCGGCGCCUCGGCCCGAGCGGGGAGCGGGUGCCGAGGAGCCGAGCGGGCCGCCCCGCGCCCACUACUCGGGCCCGCGGCGCAGGCGGGGCGUCGGGGCGCGCAGGACUGAGGCCGGGGGCCGCGCGGGGUGGGGCGGGGGCCGGGCACUAAGUGGGGGUUCCAAGGGGUGGGGCGCCGGGCCGGGGUCGUGGGGCGGGCGGGGCGCGGAUCCCUGA
Molecule: long non-coding RNA, 1065 nt
Filed under: Papio anubis (olive baboon)
Lineage: Eukaryota; Metazoa; Chordata; Mammalia; Primates; Cercopithecidae
Description: lncRNA (ENSPANG00000036957.1)
Source: RNAcentral